GACGAACGCUGGCGGCGUGCUUAACACAUGCAAGUCGAACGAGAGCGUAGAGAAAGCUUGCUUUUUCUACAAUCUAGUGGCAAGCGGGUGAGUAACGCGUAAACAACCUGCCCUACGGAUGGGGACAACAGCUGGAAACGGCUGCUAAUACCGAAUACGUUCCGAAAGUCGCAUGACUAUCGGAAGAAAGGAUGGCCUCUAUUUAUAAGCUAUCGCCGGAGGAGGGGUUUGCGUCUGAUUAGCUAGUUGGAGGGGUAACGGCCCACCAAGGCGACGAUCAGUAGCCGGUCUGAGAGGAUGAACGGCCACAUUGGAACUGAGACACGGUCCAGACUCCUACGGGAGGCAGCAGUGGGGAAUCUUCCGCAAUGGGCGAAAGCCUGACGGAGCAACGCCGCGUGAGUGAAGACGGCCUUCGGGUUGUAAAGCUCUGUUAUACGGGACGAAUAAUCUUGUGGUUAAUACCCAGGAGAAGUGACGGUACCGUAAGAGAAAGCCACGGCUAACUACGUG
This 513-nucleotide ribosomal RNA is filed under the name uncultured bacterium. RNAcentral describes it as "partial 16S ribosomal RNA". It matches the Rfam family "Bacterial small subunit ribosomal RNA", at positions 28 to 507 of the family's 1533-position model. The record is from RNAcentral.